Molecule: non-coding RNA, 265 nt
Organism: Desulfosporosinus youngiae DSM 17734
Lineage: Bacteria; Bacillati; Bacillota; Clostridia; Eubacteriales; Desulfitobacteriaceae
Rfam family: Bacterial large signal recognition particle RNA
About the family: The signal recognition particle (SRP) is a universally conserved ribonucleoprotein involved in the co-translational targeting of proteins to membranes.
Source: Rfam
CCGUACUAGACGGGGAGGUAGCGGUUCCCUGUAACUUGCAGCCCGCUCUAGCAAGGUGGAAUUCCCAAGAAAGGUCCACACCUGUGAAGCUGUCCUUGUAAGGCAGCAAUGAGAUUUGGGUCUUACGCAACAGAACACUUCGAACCGUGUCAGAUCUUGACGGAAGCAGCACUAAGGAGAGCGUUUUGUGUGCCGUAAGGUUGCCUGAAUCGAGUUGCCGAUCAAGGUAACGUUCGGAGGUGAUGGUUCGAUCAAGGGUGUACGG